CAUUACCGAGUUUACAACUCCCAAACCCAAUGUGAACCAUACCAAACUGUUGCCUCGGCGGGGUCACGCCCCGGGUGCGUCGCAGCCCCGGAACCAGGCGCCCGCCGGAGGGACCAACCAAACUCUUUUCUGUAGUCCCCUCGCGGACGUUAUUUCUUACAGCUCUGAGCAAAAAUUCAAAAUGAAUCAAAACUUUCAACAACGGAUCUCUUGGUUCUGGCAUCGAUGAAGAACGCAGCGAAAUGCGAUAAGUAAUGUGAAUUGCAGAAUUCAGUGAAUCAUCGAAUCUUUGAACGCACAUUGCGCCCGCCAGUAUUCUGGCGGGCAUGCCUGUCCGAGCGUCAUUUCAACCCUCGAACCCCUCCGGGGGGUCGGCGUUGGGGACCUCGGGAGCCCCUAAGACGGGAUCCCGGCCCCGAAAUACAGUGGCGGUCUCGCCGCAGCCUCUCCUGCGCAGUAGUUUGCACAACUCGCACCGGGAGCGCGGCGCGUCCACGUCCGUAAAACACCCAACUUCUGAAAUGUUGACCUCGGAUCAGGUAGGAAUACCCGCUGAACUUAAGCAUAU
This 568-nucleotide ribosomal RNA is filed under the name Trichoderma atroviride. RNAcentral describes it as "eukaryotic LSU rRNA". The stretch from base 191 to 344 matches the Rfam family "5.8S ribosomal RNA". Lineage: Eukaryota; Fungi; Ascomycota; Sordariomycetes; Hypocreales; Hypocreaceae. The record is from RNAcentral.